AAUAUUGGACAAUGGGGGGAACCCUGAUCCAGCCAUGCCGCGUGUGUGAAGAAGGUCUUCGGAUUGUAAAGCACUUUAAGUUGGGCGGAAGAGUUGUAGGCUCAUACCUUGCAAUUUUGACGUUACCAACAGAAUAAGCACCUGCUAACUUCGUUCCAGCAGCCACGGUAAUACGAAGGGUGCCAGCGUUAAUCGGAAUUACUGUGCGUAAUGCGCGCGUAGGUGGUUUGUUAAGUUGGAAGUGAAAGCCCCGGGCUCAACCUGGGAACUGCUUUCAAAACUGACGAGCUAGAGUACGGUAGAGGGUAGUGGAAUUUCCUGUGUAGCGGUGAAAUGCGUAGAUAUAGGAAGGAACAUCAGUGGCGAAGGCGACUACCUGGACUGAUACUGACACUGAGGUGCGAAAGCGUGGGGAGCAAACAGG
RNAcentral lists this ribosomal RNA (424 nucleotides) under uncultured bacterium. RNAcentral's name for it is "partial 16S ribosomal RNA". It matches the Rfam family "Bacterial small subunit ribosomal RNA", at positions 360 to 776 of the family's 1533-position model. The record is from RNAcentral.